This 494-nucleotide ribosomal RNA is filed under the name uncultured bacterium. RNAcentral's name for it is "partial 16S ribosomal RNA". It matches the Rfam family "Bacterial small subunit ribosomal RNA", at positions 28 to 507 of the family's 1533-position model. The record is from RNAcentral.
GACGAACGCUGGCGGCGUGCUUAACACAUGCAAGUCGAACGGUGAAGCGCCUUCCUUUUUGGUGGGUGUGGAUGAGUGGCGAACGGGUGAGUAACACGUGAGUAACCUGCCCCCUUCUUCUGGAUAACCGCAUGAAAGUGUGGCUAAUACGGGAUAUUUUGGGUCUGUCGCAUGAUGGGUCUGGGAAAGAUAUUGUUUCGGUGGGGGAUGGGCUCGCGGCCUAUCAGCUUGUUGGUGGGGUGAUGGCCUACCAAGGCGGUGACGGGUAGCCGGCCUGAGAGGGUGGACGGUCACACUGGGACUGAGACACGGCCCAGACUCCUACGGGAGGCAGCAGUGGGGAAUAUUGCACAAUGGGCGCAAGCCUGAUGCAGCGACGCCGCGUGAGGGAUGGAGGCCUGCGGGUUGUGAACCUCUUUCGCCAGUGAAGCAGGCCUGCCUCGUUUGUGGGUGGGUUGACGGUAGCUGGAUAAGAAGCGCCGGCUAACUACGUG